RNAcentral lists this long non-coding RNA (215 nucleotides) under Elaeis guineensis (African oil palm). RNAcentral's name for it is "long non-coding RNA (EGUI_LNC038473)". Lineage: Eukaryota; Viridiplantae; Streptophyta; Magnoliopsida; Arecales; Arecaceae. The record is from RNAcentral.
GAGAUUUUAGGAGCUUAUGAAAAGUAAUUUUAGAAAACUAACAAAUGGCUCAUAUAUAUAGUAUAUUUAAUUAUAGUUUGGAACUUAUAAAAAUUUGGCACAUCAUGGAUACUAAAUUUAUUUCUUUAUUUCUAAUUUUAAUCAUUUCAAUUUACUAUAGAUGCUUCAAUGAAAUAAAAAAGAAUAAGUGUAAUGCAUAGAUGCAGAGGUGUGCG